AUGCGGCCUGGCUGGGGAGGGGGGCUGCGUGCGGCCCCGUGCGUGUAGCCCAGGCUUGGUGGCGAGGACCCGGCACCGGGGGCACCCCCCGUCAGCCCCCCCGGGGCUGUGGGUGCCGGGUGCGGGCUCGGCUGGCGUGGGCGCGCCUGGCGCGUUCACGUGGCGCUGCCCGUGCGCGCGUGGGAGGCAGGCCGCGGCGCGGAGGGAGGGGGCUGCCACGCUACCUGCGCCCGCGGCCCCCUCCCCGCGGGGAGGAUGCGCUUUUCAGGCAGCUGCCUGGCUCCUCGCGAGCCGGGGAGCGCGGGAGUGCGUUGCCAAGGCAAUGGGGACCAUCUUACUCAUCCUCCUCGCUAUUGUUAUCCUGCCAGCCCGGAGCAUUCGGGGUUUUGUUCCAGCCUCGCUGUUUACUGGAAGGAGCAUUUCCACCGCCAACCUCCCCUGUCUCCAGGCAACCAGGGUCUCCAGGCCACGUCCCCGCGGCCCCGGGAGCCGCAGCAGCACCUGAAUCCCGCUCCUGGCUCGACCGCGCCGGGGGAAGGCUGGCUUUUGCGGAUUAGCAU
Molecule: long non-coding RNA, 560 nt
Filed under: Anser brachyrhynchus (Pink-footed goose)
Lineage: Eukaryota; Metazoa; Chordata; Aves; Anseriformes; Anatidae
Description: lncRNA (ENSABRG00000016706.1)
Source: RNAcentral